This 387-nucleotide ribosomal RNA is filed under the name uncultured bacterium. Its description in RNAcentral is "bacterial SSU rRNA". It matches the Rfam family "Bacterial small subunit ribosomal RNA", at positions 29 to 417 of the family's 1533-position model. The record is from RNAcentral.
AUUGAACGCUGGCGGAAUGCUUUACACAUGCAAGUCGGGCGGCAGCGCGGGGGCAACCCUGGCGGCGAGCGGCGAACGGGUGAGUAACACAUCGGAACGUACCCUGUCGUGGGGGAUAACGAAUCGAAAGAUUCGCUAAUACCGCAUACGACCUGAGGGUGAAAGCGGGGGACCGCAAGGCCUCGCGCGAUUGGAUGAGCCGACGUCGGAUUAGCUAGUUGGCGGGGUAAAGGCCCACCAAGGCGACGAUCCGUAGCUGGUCUGAGAGGAUGAUCAGCCACACUGGAACUGAGACACGGUCCAGACUCCUACGGGAGGCAGCAGUGGGGAAUAUUGGACAAUGGGCGCAAGCCUGAUCCAGCAAUGCCGCGUGUGUGAAGAAGGCCU